GGUGGCACCUGGCUGGCUGGGGCUGCUGGUCCACUGUCUGAGUCCAGAGUGAACUGUCCACUGGAGAGCAGCGUCGUGGUUCCUGGCUCUUGGCACUGUCACAGUUAAAUGGAAUGAAUACGUCAAGCAGGGACGGCCGCCAGGAAACAUCUCACUGGGGUCAAGACUGCCCUUUUUGAGAAAUCUUCUCUCUGAUUAUCUGCAAGAAAAAAAAAGUGCUCCUGAUGGAAGCUGAGCUGUGAAUUAGCAGAGUACAGAUCCCUUCAAGUCCCAGGCAGUCGUGUGCCUCCAGACCAGCCCUGCUCUGUGUAAGGACAACGAGAGGUGACGCGUGACCCACCCCACUGUGUGGCACCUGGAGUGAUGUUGGCUGCCUCUGUCUGGUCAGUGGCUGCUCCUGUAGGUCAUUGUUGUCCCCUGACUGAGCACGGAGGUCCAGGGCCAGGCAGGUCAGUGAGCCCAGGAGGAGCUGGGCAGGGGGUGCUGCCUGCCCACCUGCAGCUGGUGCAGAGGGCCAGCCAGUUGCUCCGACACAGCGAUCCCGAGUGUGCCCUGUCCAGGCCUGUGGCAUUGUCCUGGUGACCAGUGUCAUGGGGCCAUGCCCACUCAGAGCCAGUACUGGAUGGGGAAGAAGCAAACAGAAGAUGCCCUGGAUCCUAUCAAAGGAAUUGAUUGCUGCCCUGAAAUCUAUGGAGAAGGCUGAUUUGAAUCAUUAUGUUGCUCCAUUGCGGUCAGAUGCACUGGCAGUGGCUCCGAGGUUUUCAGGCAAGACCGGACUGCAAACGAAGAUUCCUGAUCCCACCUGGCCCUUGUAGCUAAAUGAUUCAUUCUUCUCGAGGACCCAGGGACGCUCGAUCACCUUCUCAGAGCUGUCAUCCAAGGUCCAGGCUAAUGGAUGGGAUUACCAAGGGGCGGAGGUCUGAGGGUCUCCAUACUCAAGGAGGGAGAGUCACGGGGUCCCCCCCCUUCCUGAAGGGCCGUGCUCCCAUGAAUUGGAAAAGAAAAUGAGCACAGAAGAGACACUUGGUGCCAUUCAAUUACCUGCCUGGUGGAGUGGGGUGUGUUGUUUCAGAACACAUUCUCACUGUAAUGCACUUCAGAUUUGGGAACAAGCACUAGCUGGGAGCUGGUUCUGUAGCCCCUACAUAUGGAGGAGGUGCUACCUGUUGUCUCAGCUGUGGAGCCCUGGGCCCCCUCUUCCUGGUGACCACAUCCCCAAAUCCUCGUAACAACUGCCCAGAUCCAGUGCAAAAGUGCAUCUUGUGCUUUGGAAGUUCUAAGAAGGUAGCUUUUGAUGCAGAAAAUGAACCAAGUAACACAGCAGGCUAAUCCAACCUUGAAGACCUGGGUACAUGGAGUCUAGGGUUUAGUUCCAGCAAUGCCCCUACAGGGCAUUUCUGGACAGGAAGUCAGUGUGUUGGAGGCAUUGGAUUCUGGUGACUAUUCACAGUCACCAAGAAAUGGCAUUGACCUGAAGGUCCACCCAUGGAUAGGUGGGUGAAGAAAAUGCUGUAUGUGAUCCCAGCACUCUGAGUGGCUAAGGUGGGAGGAUUGAACAUUUGAGCUUGGGCAACUUAGAGAGACCAGUUUCAAAAUAAGAAAAAAAAAUAAAGGGUUGGGGAUGUAGCUCAGUGCAAAAAGCCUUGGGUUCAGUCCCCAGUACUGAAAAAGAAGAAAAAAAAAAAAGAAAAGAAAAGAAGGAAAGGGAAAGAAGUGGUACAUACUGUGGAAUACUAUGCAGCCCUAGCAAGAAAGAAGCCAGCAUGUCGAGCAGCCUGAAUGAGCCUGGGUAGGAGGUGCUGGGGGAACAGGCCCACCCACCACAGUAGUACGCAUCCCGUAUGGCCCCCACUCCGGCACGGAACUGGAAGAGCUGCACUCAGAGCCGGGGAGACUGGGGGUCACUGGGCAAGGUGGGCAGGGGAAGACGUGGUGCUGGUCAGAGGACCAAAGGUUUCGGUGGGCCAGGAGGAGAAGCGCUCAGCCUUGGAAACACGAGUCCAGUGUCCCCACAUUGUAC
Heterocephalus glaber (naked mole-rat) is the source of this 2020-nucleotide long non-coding RNA. Lineage: Eukaryota; Metazoa; Chordata; Mammalia; Rodentia; Bathyergidae. The record is from Ensembl.